RNAcentral lists this ribosomal RNA (1461 nucleotides) under uncultured Bacteroides sp. RNAcentral's name for it is "bacterial SSU rRNA". It matches the Rfam family "Bacterial small subunit ribosomal RNA". The record is from RNAcentral. Lineage: Bacteria; Pseudomonadati; Bacteroidota; Bacteroidia; Bacteroidales; Bacteroidaceae.
AAGUCGAGGGGCAUCAGGAAGAAAGCUUGCUUUCUUUGCUGGCGACCGGCGCACGGGUGAGUAACACGUAUCCAACCUGCCCUUUACUCGGGGAUAGCCUUUCGAAAGAAAGAUUAAUACCCGAUAGCAUAAUGAUUCCGCAUGGUUUCAUUAUUAAAGGAUUCCGGUAAAGGAUGGGGAUGCGUUCCAUUAGGUUGUUGGUGAGGUAACGGCUCACCAAGCCUUCGAUGGAUAGGGGUUCUGAGAGGAAGGUCCCCCACAUUGGAACUGAGACACGGUCCAAACUCCUACGGGAGGCAGCAGUGAGGAAUAUUGGUCAAUGGGCGCUAGCCUGAACCAGCCAAGUAGCGUGAAGGAUGAAGGCUCUAUGGGUCGUAAACUUCUUUUAUAUAAGAAUAAAGUGCAGUAUGUAUACUGUUUUGUAUGUAUUAUAUGAAUAAGGAUCGGCUAACUCCGUGCCAGCAGCCGCGGUAAUACGGAGGAUCCGAGCGUUAUCCGGAUUUAUUGGGUUUAAAGGGAGCGUAGGUGGACUGGUAAGUCAGUUGUGAAAGUUUGCGGCUCAACCGUAAAAUUGCAGCUGAUACUGUCAGUCUUGAGUACAGUAGAGGUGGGCGGAAUUCGUGGUGUAGCGGUGAAAUGCUUAGAUAUCACGAAGAACUCCGAUUGCGAAGGCAGCUCACUGGACUGCAACUGACACUGAUGCUCGAAAGUGUGGGUAUCAAACAGGAUUAGAUACCCUGGUAGUCCACACAGUAAACGAUGAAUACUCGCUGUUUGCGAUAUACAGUAAGCGGCCAAGCGAAAGCAUUAAGUAUUCCACCUGGGGAGUACGCCGGCAACGGUGAAACUCAAAGGAAUUGACGGGGGCCCGCACAAGCGGAGGAACAUGUGGUUUAAUUCGAUGAUACGCGAGGAACCUUACCCGGGCUUAAAUUGCAGUGGAAUGAUGUGGAAACAUGUCAGUGAGCAAUCACCGCUGUGAAGGUGCUGCAUGGUUGUCGUCAGCUCGUGCCGUGAGGUGUCGGCUUAAGUGCCAUAACGAGCGCAACCCUUAUCUUUAGUUACUAACAGGUUAUGCUGAGGACUCUAGAGAGACUGCCGUCGUAAGAUGUGAGGAAGGUGGGGAUGACGUCAAAUCAGCACGGCCCUUACGUCCGGGGCUACACACGUGUUACAAUGGGGGGUACAGAAGGCAGCUAGCGGGUGACCGUAUGCUAAUCCCAAAAUCCUCUCUCAGUUCGGAUCGAAGUCUGCAACCCGACUUCGUGAAGCUGGAUUCGCUAGUAAUCGCGCAUCAGCCACGGCGCGGUGAAUACGUUCCCGGGCCUUGUACACACCGCCCGUCAAGCCAUGGGAGCCGGGGGUACCUGAAGUACGUAACCGCAAGGAUCGUCCUAGGGUAAAACUGGUGACUGGGGCUAAGUCGUAACAAGGUAGCCGUACCGGAAGGUGCGGCUGGAA